GUAGGUGGCUAGCGUUGUCCGGAAUUAUUGGGCGUAAAGCGCGCGCAGGCGGUUUUUUAAGUCUGAUGUGAAAGCCCACGGCUCAACCGUGGAGGGUCAUUGGAAACUGGAGAACUUGAGUACAGAAGAGGAAAGCGGAAUUCCACGUGUAGCGGUGAAAUGCGUAGAGAUGUGGAGGAACACCAGUGGCGAAGGCGGCUUUUCUGGUCUGUAACUGACGCUGAGGCGCGAAAGCGUGGGGAGCAAACAGGGAUUAGAUACCCUGGUAGUCCACGCCGUAAACGAUGAGUGCUAAGUGUUAGGGGGUUUCCGCCCCCUUAGUGCUGCAGCUAACGCAUUAAGCACUCCGCCUGGGGAGUACGGCCGCAAGGCUG
RNAcentral lists this ribosomal RNA (374 nucleotides) under uncultured organism. RNAcentral describes it as "partial 16S ribosomal RNA". It matches the Rfam family "Bacterial small subunit ribosomal RNA", at positions 527 to 896 of the family's 1533-position model. The record is from RNAcentral.